CUGGGUUACGGUGACAUGUACCCGCAGACGUGGUCGGGCAUGCUGGUGGGCGCGUUGUGUGCCCUGGCGGGCGUGCUGACGAUAGCCAUGCCUGUGCCCGUUAUCGUCAAUAAC
Non-coding RNA from Salmo salar (Atlantic salmon), 114 nucleotides. Lineage: Eukaryota; Metazoa; Chordata; Actinopteri; Salmoniformes; Salmonidae. The record is from Rfam.